AGAGUUUGAUCAUGGCUCAGGAUGAACGCUAGCUACAGGCUUAACACAUGCAAGUCGAGGGGAAACGACAUCGAAAGCUUGCUUUUGAUGGGCGUCGACCGGCGCACGGGUGAGUAACGCGUAUCCAACCUGCCCACCACUUGGGGAUAACCUUGCGAAAGUAAGACUAAUACCCAAUGACGUCUCUAGAAGACAUCUGAAAGAGAUUAAAGAUUUAUCGGUGAUGGAUGGGGAUGCGUCUGAUUAGCUUGUUGGCGGGUAACGGCCACCAAGGCUACGAUCAGUAGGGGUUCUGAGAGGAAGGUCCCCUACAUUGGAACUGAGACACGGUCCAAACUCCUACGGGAGCGA
This 351-nucleotide ribosomal RNA is filed under the name uncultured bacterium. Its description in RNAcentral is "bacterial SSU rRNA". It matches the Rfam family "Bacterial small subunit ribosomal RNA", at positions 8 to 350 of the family's 1533-position model. The record is from RNAcentral.